This 254-nucleotide ribosomal RNA is filed under the name uncultured bacterium. RNAcentral describes it as "partial 16S ribosomal RNA". It matches the Rfam family "Bacterial small subunit ribosomal RNA", at positions 524 to 776 of the family's 1533-position model. The record is from RNAcentral.
UACGGAAGAUCCAAGCGUUAUCCGGAAUUACUGGGCGUAAAGAGUUGCGUAGGUGGCAAAGUAAGCGAAGCAUGAAAUCUUGUGGCUCAACCAUAAGUCUAUGCUUUGAACUGCUUAGCUUGAGUGUAGGAGAGGUACCUGGAAUUCCCAGUGUAGGAGUGAAAUCCGUAGAUAUUGGGAGGAACACCGAUGGCGUAGGCAGGGUACUGGCCUAUUACUGACACUAAGGCACGAAAGCGUGGGGAGCGAACGGG